RNAcentral lists this ribosomal RNA (400 nucleotides) under uncultured bacterium. Its description in RNAcentral is "bacterial SSU rRNA". It matches the Rfam family "Bacterial small subunit ribosomal RNA", at positions 355 to 772 of the family's 1533-position model. The record is from RNAcentral.
UGGGGAAUAUUGCACAAUGGGGGAAACCCUGAUGCAGCAACGCCGCGUGAGUGAAGAAGGCCUUCGGGUUGUAAAGCUCUGUUGAAGGGGAAGAUAAUGACGGUACCCUUCGAGGAAGCCACGGCUAACUACGUGCCAGCAGCCGCGGUAAUACGUAGGUGGCGAGCGUUGUCCGGAUUUACUGGGCGUAAAGGAUGCGUAGGCGGAUUAUUAAGUCAGAUGUGAAAUACCCGAGCUUAACUUGGGAGCUGCAUUUGAAACUGGUAGUCUGGAGUGCAGGAGAGGUAAGUGGAAUUCCUAGUGUAGCGGUGAAAUGCGUAGAGAUUAGGAAGAACACCAGUGGCGAAGGCGACUUACUGGACUGUAACUGACGCUGAGGCAUGAAAGCGUGGGGAGCAAA